UUUGGUUAAGUUAGAAAGGGCGCACGGUGGAUGCCUUGACACUAGGAGUCGAUGAAGGACGGGACUAACGCCGAUAUGCUUCGGGGAGCUGUAAGUAAGCUUUGAUCCGAAGAUUUCCGAAUGGGGAAACCCACCAUACGUAAUGGUAUGGUAUCCUUAUCUGAAUACAUAGGGUAAGGAAGACAGACCCAGGGAACUGAAACAUCUAAGUACCUGGAGGAAGAGAAAGCAAAUGCGAUUUCCUGAGUAGCGGCGAGCGAAACGGAACAUAGCCCAAACCAAGAGGCUUGCCUCUUGGGGUUGUAGGACAUUCUAUACGGAGUUACAAAGGAACGAGGUAGACGAAGCGACCUGGAAAGGUCCGUCGUAGAGGGUAACAACCCCGUAGUCGAAACUUCGUUCUCUCUUGAAUGUAUCCUGAGUACGGCGGAACACGUGAAAUUCCGUCGGAAUCUGGGAGGACCAUCUCCCAAGGCUAAAUACUCCCUAGUGAUCGAUAGUGAACCAGUACCGUGAGGGAAAGGUGAAAAGCACCCCGGAAGGGGAGUGAAAGAGAUCCUGAAACCGUGUGCCUACAAAUAGUCAGAGCCCGUUAAUGGGUGAUGGCGUGCCUUUUGUAGAAUGAACCGGCGAGUUACGAUCCCGUGCGAGGUUAAGCUGAAGAGGCGGAGCCGCAGCGAAAGCGAGUCUGAAUAGGGCGUUUAGUACGUGGUCGUAGACCCGAAACCAGGUGAUCUACCCAUGUCCAGGGUGAAGUUCAGGUAACACUGAAUGGAGGCCCGAACCCACGCACGUUGAAAAGUGCGGGGAUGAGGUGUGGGUAGCGGAGAAAUUCCAAUCGAACCUGGAGAUAGCUGGUUCUCCCCGAAAUAGCUUUAGGGCUAGCCUUAAGUGUAAGAGUCUUGGAGGUAGAGCACUGAUUGGACUAGGGGUCCUCAUCGGAUUACCGAAUUCAGUCAAACUCCGAAUGCCAAUGACUUAUCCUUAGGAGUCAGACUGCGAGUGAUAAGAUCCGUAGUCAAAAGGGAAACAGCCCAGACCGCCAGCUAAGGUCCCAAAGUGUGUAUUAAGUGGAAAAGGAUGUGGAGUUGCUUAGACAACUAGGAUGUUGGCUUAGAAGCAGCCACCAUUUAAAGAGUGCGUAAUAGCUCACUAGUCGAGUGACUCUGCGCCGAAAAUGUACCGGGGCUAAAUACACCACCGAAGCUGCGGAUUGAUACCAAUGGUAUCAGUGGUAGGGGAGCGUUCUAAGGACAGUGAAGUCAGACCGUAAGGACUGGUGGAGUGCUUAGAAGUGAGAAUGCCGGUAUGAGUAGCGAAAGACGGGUGAGAAUCCCGUCCACCGAAUGCCUAAGGUUUCCUGAGGAAGGCUCGUCCGCUCAGGGUUAGUCAGGACCUAAGCCGAGGCCGACAGGCGUAGGCGAUGGACAACAGGUUGAUAUUCCUGUACCACCUCUUUAUCGUUUGAGCAAUGGAGGGACGCAGAAGGAUAGAAGAAGCGUGCGAUUGGUUGUGCACGUCCAAGCAGUUAGGCUGAUAAGUAGGCAAAUCCGCUUAUCAUAAAGGCUGAGCUGUGAUGGGGAAGCUCCUUAUGGAGCGAAGUCUUUGAUUCCCCGCUGCCAAGAAAAGCUUCUAGCGAGAUAAAAGGUGCCUGUACCGCAAACCGACACAGGUAGGCGAGGAGAGAAUCCUAAGGUGUGCGAGAGAACUCUGGUUAAGGAACUCGGCAAAAUGACCCCGUAACUUCGGGAGAAGGGGUGCUUUCUUAACGGAAAGCCGCAGUGAAUAGGCCCAAGCGACUGUUUAGCAAAAACACAGCUCUCUGCGAAGCCGUAAGGCGAAGUAUAGGGGGUGACACCUGCCCGGUGCUGGAAGGUUAAGGAGAGGGGUUAGCGUAAGCGAAGCUCUGAACUGAAGCCCCAGUAAACGGCGGCCGUAACUAUAACGGUCCUAAGGUAGCGAAAUUCCUUGUCGGGUAAGUUCCGACCCGCACGAAAGGUGUAACGAUUUGGGCACUGUCUCAACCAGAGACUCGGUGAAAUUAUAGUACCUGUGAAGAUGCAGGUUACCCGCGACAGGACGGAAAGACCCCGUGGAGCUUUACUGUAGCCUGAUAUUGAAUUUUGGUACAUUUUGUACAGGAUAGGCGGGAGCCUUUGAAACCGGAGCGCUAGCUUCGGUGGAGGCGCUGGUGGGAUACCGCCCUGAAUGUAUUGAAAUUCUAACCUACGGGUCUUAUCGACCCGGGAGACAGUGUCAGGUGGGCAGUUUGACUGGGGCGGUCGCCUCCUAAAGUGUAACGGAGGCGCCCAAAGGUUCCCUCAGAAUGGUUGGAAAUCAUUCGUAGAGUGCAAAGGCAUAAGGGAGCUUGACUGCGAGACCUACAAGUCGAGCAGGGACGAAAGUCGGGCUUAGUGAUCCGGUGGUUCCGCAUGGAAGGGCCAUCGCUCAACGGAUAAAAGCUACCCCGGGGAUAACAGGCUUAUCUCCCCAAGAGUCCACAUCGACGGGGAGGUUUGGCACCUCGAUGUCGGCUCAUCGCAUCCUGGGGCUGUAGUCGGUCCCAAGGGUUGGGCUGUUCGCCCAUUAAAGCGGUACGCGAGCUGGGUUCAGAACGUCGUGAGACAGUUCGGUCCCUAUCCGUCGUGGGCGUAGGAAAUUUGAGAGGAGCUGUCCUUAGUACGAGAGGACCGGGAUGGACGCACCGCUGGUGUACCAGUUGUUCUGCCAAGGGCAUAGCUGGGUAGCUAUGUGCGGAAGGGAUAAGUGCUGAAAGCAUCUAAGCAUGAAGCCCCCCUCAAGAUGAGAUUUCCCAUAGCGUAAGCUAGUAAGAUCCCUGAAAGAUGAUCAGGUUGAUAGGUUCGAGGUGGAAGCAUGGUGACAUGUGGAGCUGACGAAUACUAAUAGAUCGAGGACUUAACCAUAUAA
RNAcentral lists this ribosomal RNA (2928 nucleotides) under Bacillus albus. Its description in RNAcentral is "23S ribosomal RNA". It matches the Rfam family "Bacterial large subunit ribosomal RNA". Lineage: Bacteria; Bacillati; Bacillota; Bacilli; Caryophanales; Bacillaceae. The record is from RNAcentral.